Molecule: non-coding RNA, 171 nt
Filed under: Roseospira goensis
Lineage: Bacteria; Pseudomonadati; Pseudomonadota; Alphaproteobacteria; Rhodospirillales; Rhodospirillaceae
Source: RNAcentral
GUCCCCGCGAGGCGGGGUCUGAAGGAAGCUGGAGGCAAAGUCCUGGCCCGACGAACAGGAACCGCAUACGAGGCGCCGAGACCCUGGGCGAGGGGGCAUGGAGACCCGAAGCCCGAUGUCACCCGGAGGGCCUGGGCGUAGAUGCGGCGGGCGCUGUCCAACGCCGCCGUC